Eucalyptus grandis is the source of this 1061-nucleotide long non-coding RNA. RefSeq lists it as uncharacterized. NCBI's taxonomy places the organism in Eukaryota, Viridiplantae, Streptophyta, Magnoliopsida, Myrtales, Myrtaceae. The transcript has 8 exons. The record is from RefSeq and is a predicted model, not a curated record.
GAAGAACAAAAAAAAAAAUUUCAUCAUCUCCCUCCUCCUCCUCCUCCGAAGAUUCCGAUCUCUGCACCUUCUCGAACUCAGAUCUCAGUCUUCCUCUGCUUGACCAGCAUUCGCAGAAAGGCAGAGAGAUGGCGGCGUUCAUGGAGCUCGAGGACUCGCCCAUGUUUCACAAGCAGAUCUUUCCACUAGAACGGACAGCGGAGGAGUUGAAAGAGCGUUACCAGAGGCUAUACAGAGGCUCUGCAAAAUUUGUGCCUGUGAAAAGUUUGUGCCUUUGAAGAGGAGUACAAGAGGAGACAUUGUUGCUGAACUAGAAGAGGAUCUACAAAACUCCAAAUCAGCAUUUGAGAGAAGCCGCUUCAAUCUAGUGCGUGCACUCAUGAAUAUUGAAAUGAAAAAGAAGUAUGAAUUUUUGGAAUCUAUAAGUGCAAUCAUGGAUGCGCAUCUGAGAUAUUUCAAGCAGGGUUAUGAGUUAUUGACUCAAUUGGAGCCAUUUAUCCACCAGGUAUUGACAUAGCUCAACAAUCGAAAGAGAUGGCUAAUGUGGAGCAAGACAGACUUGCCAAAAGGAUUCAGGAAUUUCGUACCCAAGCUGAAUUGGACUCCUUAUGUGCUUCAAGUGGUAUUGAAACCCCUGACGUUAGCACGAAUGCUACUGGCACAAAUUCUUACGGAGACAUUGAAACAAUCAUGACAUCUACCAGAGGUGGAGAGUGUGAAUUGUGCGACAGAUUCCCACUCCAAGUUUCUCUGAGAGAACAUCUCUGAAACACCAUUAUACACUUGAGUUAGCUGCUGCUUCAAAGCUUUUGGCAUCUUUCAGAAGGGCCUGAACAAAGGGACUGUUCUACCCAACUACAGAGAAACUUUAUCCUGAGGAUUUUGUCCCUUGUGAUCUUUCUUCACCAUGUUAGCCAAUAAGAAGGAGCAGAUCUAGUGUUAGCAGGGCGAGGAAGAAAACUGUCCACAUUCAUAUUUACUUGUGAAGUAGUCACUCUUCAUGAUCCCUGUAUGAUGUUACUUAUCGAACACUAGAUGAAUAAUUAGAUUUUUCUUAUCUA